UACAGAGGUCCCAAGCGUUGUUCGGAUUCAUUGGGCGUAAAGGGUGCGUAGGCGGCGUCGUAAGUCGAAUGUGAAAUCCCGGAGCUUAACUUCGGAACUGCAUUCGAUACUGCGGCGCUCGAGGACUGUAGAGGAGAAUGGAAUUCACGGUGUAGCAGUGAAAUGCGUAGAUAUCGUGAGGAAGACCAGUGGCGAAGGCGAUUCUCUGGGCAGUUCCUGACGCUGAGGCACGAAGGCCAGGGUAGCGAACGGG
This 253-nucleotide unclassified non-coding RNA is filed under the name uncultured Verrucomicrobiota bacterium. Its description in RNAcentral is "uncultured Verrucomicrobia bacterium contains 16S-23S intergenic spacer region". It matches the Rfam family "Bacterial small subunit ribosomal RNA", at positions 524 to 776 of the family's 1533-position model. Lineage: Bacteria; Pseudomonadati; Verrucomicrobiota. The record is from RNAcentral.